AGAGUUUGAUCCUGGCUCAGGAUGAACGCUAGCGGCAGGCCUAAUACAUGCAAGUCGAACGGGUCGCAAGACUAGUGGCGCACGGGUGCGUAACACGUAGGUAACCUACCUUUUACUGGGGCAUAACGAUGGGAAACCAUCGCUAAUUCCGCAUAAGAUCAUAACCCGGCAUCGGGUAGUGCUUAAAGAUUUAUUGGUAAAAGAUGGGCCUGCGGCUGAUUAGCUAGUUGGUAGUGUAACGGACUACCAAGGCCAUGAUCAGUAGGGGUUCUGAGAGGAAGAUCCCCCACACUGGCACUGAGAUACGGGCCAGACUCCUACGGGAGGCAGCAGUAGGGAAUAUUGGGCAAUGGUGGCAACACUGACCCAGCCAUGCCGCGUGCAGGAAGAAGGCGCUCAGCGUUGUAAACUGCUUUUGCCGGGGAAGAAAAAAGAUUACGUGUAAUCUGAUCGACGGUACCUGGUGAAUAAGCACCGGCUAACUCCGUGCCAGCAGCCGCGGUAAUACGGAGGGUGCAAGCGUUGUCCGGAUUUAUUGGGUUUAAAGGGUGCGUAGGUGGCUUUUUAAGUCUGGGGUGAAAGGCAGUGGCUCAACCACUUGCAGGGCCCUGGAUACUGGAAGGCUCGAGUACGGGUGAGGCCGGUGGAACGGGUGGUGUAGCGGUGAAAUGCAUAGAUACCAUCCAGAACACCGAUUGCGGAGGCAGCCGGCUAACCCGUUACUGACACUGAGGCACGAAAGCGUGGGGAGCAAACAGGAUUAGAUACCCUAGUAGUCC
RNAcentral lists this ribosomal RNA (779 nucleotides) under uncultured bacterium. Its description in RNAcentral is "bacterial SSU rRNA". It matches the Rfam family "Bacterial small subunit ribosomal RNA", at positions 8 to 796 of the family's 1533-position model. The record is from RNAcentral.